This 307-nucleotide long non-coding RNA is filed under the name Vigna radiata. RNAcentral's name for it is "long non-coding RNA (VRAD_LNC004406)". The record is from RNAcentral. Lineage: Eukaryota; Viridiplantae; Streptophyta; Magnoliopsida; Fabales; Fabaceae.
UGAGAUGAGAGAGAAAAUAUCUCUUAUGACAAAGGGUUUCUGAUUGUUUUUUUUCAAUUGGGACAACAGUAGGGAUGACAGAGAAAAUGUUGGAGUGAGAGAAAAUGUUAGAGUGAUAGAGAUGAAAGAGAAAGGAUUAAGAGGAAUGAGGGAGGUGAGUAAGGGUUUGGGGGUUUCUUUUUUUUUUUUUUAGUUUUGAGAAUGAAAAUUAUUUAAAUAUCCUUGACCUUAAAACUUAGAAUCCAUGAUAAAUGAGACUAUUUGUGUCUACUAUAAUCCGGUACACAUUGUUAAAACGUACCAACUA